AUAAGGUUAAGUUAAUAAGGGCGCACGGUGGAUGCCUUGGCACUAGAAGCCGAAGAAGGACGUGACUAACGACGAAAUGCUUUGGGGAGCUGUAAGUAAGCGCUGAUCCAGAGAUGUCCGAAUGGGGGAACCCACUAGUUAAUGACUAGUAUCCAUAUCUGUUAAGGAUAUGAGAAGGAAGACGCAGUGAACUGAAACAUCUAAGUAGCUGCAGGAAGAGAAAGCAAAAGCGAUUGCCUUAGUAGCGGCGAGCGAAACGGCAGGAGGGCAAACCGAAGUGUUUACACUUCGGGGUUGUAGGACUGCGAUAUAGGAUUAAUCAUUAUAGAAGAAUUACCUGGGAAGGUAAGCCAAAGAGAGUAACAGCCUCGUAUUUAA
RNAcentral lists this ribosomal RNA (378 nucleotides) under Streptococcus agalactiae GB00082. Its description in RNAcentral is "bacterial LSU rRNA". It matches the Rfam family "Bacterial large subunit ribosomal RNA", at positions 1 to 382 of the family's 2925-position model. Lineage: Bacteria; Bacillati; Bacillota; Bacilli; Lactobacillales; Streptococcaceae. The record is from RNAcentral.